UUGCAGAAUUCCGCGAAUCAUCGAGUUUUUGAACGCAAGUUGCGCCCGAGGCUUGACCAAGGGCAUCUCUGCCAGAGCGUCACCGCGACAC
Molecule: ribosomal RNA, 91 nt
Filed under: Syrrhopodon bornensis
Lineage: Eukaryota; Viridiplantae; Streptophyta; Bryopsida; Dicranales; Calymperaceae
Description: Syrrhopodon borneensis partial 5.8S ribosomal RNA
Rfam family: 5.8S ribosomal RNA
About the family: 5.8S ribosomal RNA (5.8S rRNA) is a component of the large subunit of the eukaryotic ribosome. It is transcribed by RNA polymerase I as part of the 45S precursor that also contains 18S and 28S rRNA.
Source: RNAcentral